UACAGAGGGUGCAAGCAUUGUUCGGAAUUACUGGGCGUAAAGGGCGCGUAGGCGGCCUUCUAAGUCGAACGUGAAAUCCCUGGGCUCAACCCAGGAACUGCGUCCGAUACUGGAAGGCUUGAAUCCGGGAGAGGGAUGCGGAAUUCCAGGUGUAGCGGUGAAAUGCGUAGAUAUCUGGAGGAACACCCGUGGCGAAGGCGGCUCUCUGGGACGGUACUGACGCUGAGACGCGAAAGCGUGGGGAGCGAACAGG
This 253-nucleotide ribosomal RNA is filed under the name uncultured bacterium. RNAcentral describes it as "partial 16S ribosomal RNA". It matches the Rfam family "Bacterial small subunit ribosomal RNA", at positions 524 to 776 of the family's 1533-position model. The record is from RNAcentral.